Molecule: small RNA, 29 nt
Filed under: Bombyx mori (domestic silkworm)
Lineage: Eukaryota; Metazoa; Arthropoda; Insecta; Lepidoptera; Bombycidae
Description: piRNA piR-bmo-2123008
Source: RNAcentral
UUCAACGGACAGUUGCAAUCUACAUAAGU